CCAGUGCAGGGCAACACUAUUUUCAUUACUUUAAAACACUUAUUUUUUGAUGUUACUGUUCCUUUAAGUUUUAACCAUUCCAUCUCACUUGCUGUACCAUUCCAUUGGAGUUAGUAUUUGGAAUGAGAAAUAAAAUAGAUUUGUAGCAUGUGGGAGGUCUCUUGCAAUUCCAUAUGAUUUUGUUUUUUUAAUACUUUUUUUGUUUUCUUUAUUCACAAUUGCAGUACCGCCGCAAACAUCGCGGCCUGACUCGGGCAGUGACCAGGACCAGGACGACGCCGCUCAGCAACCCCAGGAAGAGGGUGAGGCUGAAGAUCGUGAUAGAGCCCCGGAAGCUCAAGAACACCGAGCUGAAAGCCGCGCCCAGUCACCAGCUGUGAUACCUGUGGUGCCCCCCAGACGUCGUGCUGCUGCCACUGCUGCUGCUGCAGCAAUUGG
Molecule: long non-coding RNA, 438 nt
Organism: Xenopus laevis (African clawed frog)
Lineage: Eukaryota; Metazoa; Chordata; Amphibia; Anura; Pipidae
Exons: 3
Source: RefSeq, a predicted model, not a curated record